CCUGGGGCCACUGUUGACCUAUUGAGUCAGUGUAAUCUCUCUCAAGUCCAUAGAUACACCUCUUUACUGGGCAAACUCCUGAAGGAGUGGGCAGUGAUAUCCCUGCUGAAUGUGUAGUUACACACACUCUAUGAAGAUUUCAUCCUUCCUCUCAGAGGUGGGUCUCUACAUGAGGUUGCUUUGAAGGUCGCAGUGAGGUGGACCACAUAAAGAUGGUAAGUUUGGAGCAUGGACUGGCACAUUUUUGGGCCCCUUACUACAACAAAGACAUGAACAUUAAAGGCUGAGGCUUUAAUGAGAAGUCAGUCUUCCAAGGGAGGGUUUAUUUGCUUGUGGUCUGAACUGAACCCUCUGAAGCUGUUAAGGGGAUGAGAAGGAGACAGCAGCAAUCUGAGCUGAGGAAGUAGAAGUGCCACAGGACUAAGAAAAGACUGGAAUGAGCUUACAUAUAAAUGGCUUGGAAAAUCACUAUUUUAUAUUAAGUUUAUGCAAGAGACAAAGCAAAAUAUUUGGCUGGCUUUCCAGCUUUGUUCAAUUUCCUUUCCGUGUACACAAAGAGAUUUCAAGCAGAGGAUUUGCUUUUCAGCACUCAGAUAUUAUUUCCGUUCAUCCAAGAAGCCCUUCCCCAAAUGCACCAUAUAUCACCAGGGACCUGCUCCACACUCCAAAUGUUUUUUUCAUGUAAUAAAUACUUGACAUUUAGAAAAAUGGCUUCAAAAUUUACAGAGUGCAGUGCUCACAGUUUGAGAUUACCCUCUAAACACCCUGAAGUGCCGGGCGCAUAAAUACAUUUCUUUGCAAAUAGAUUCACAUUUAUUAGUUUUGCAAGUGUAUUUUUGCUUCUUGGAGAUGAAUGACUGCUACAAAAAGAAACAGCUCUGGUUUAAAUGAAAUAGUAAGUGCAGGAGAAAGGCUGAUCAAAAGUGUUUAAUUCUCUCCUUGUUCUUCUGAUUUGUUUUCUGUCUUUGUAAUUCAAGUUUCAUAAUCAUGGCACUAUACAUCUAAACCAUUCAGUUGUGCUUUAUAUCAUGGUCCAACAAAAUGCAGAUCAAGAUGUGAAACAGCAACAAUAAAUGAACUGAAGUUUUA
Molecule: non-coding RNA, 1089 nt
Organism: Coturnix japonica (Japanese quail)
Lineage: Eukaryota; Metazoa; Chordata; Aves; Galliformes; Phasianidae
Source: RefSeq, a predicted model, not a curated record